UGAAUACGUUCCCGGGCCUUGUACACACCGCCCGUCACGCCAUGGGAGUCGAGAGCACCCGAAGCCAGUGGCCCAACCCCGGCUUGCCGGGGAGGGAGCUGUCCACGGUGAGAUCGAUGACUGGGGCGAAGUCGUAACAAGGUAGCCGUACCGGAAGGUGCGGCUGGAUCACCUCCUUUCUAGGGAG
This 187-nucleotide ribosomal RNA is filed under the name Calditrichota bacterium. Its description in RNAcentral is "Calditrichaeota bacterium (oil production facility metagenome) partial 16S ribosomal RNA". It matches the Rfam family "Bacterial small subunit ribosomal RNA", at positions 1363 to 1533 of the family's 1533-position model. Lineage: Bacteria; Pseudomonadati; Calditrichota. The record is from RNAcentral.